Molecule: ribosomal RNA, 473 nt
Filed under: uncultured bacterium
Lineage: Bacteria
Description: bacterial SSU rRNA
Rfam family: Bacterial small subunit ribosomal RNA
Source: RNAcentral
GAUGAACGCUAGCGGCAGGCCUAACACAUGCAAGUCGAGGGGUAACUAGAGUGAUAGCAAUAUUACUUUGGCUAGACCGGCGCACGGGUGCGUAACACGUAUGCAACCUACCUUAUACUGGGGAAUAACUUCGAGAAAUCGGCGCUAAUACCCCAUAACACUGCGAAGAGGCAUCUCUUUGCAUUUAAAGCUCCGGCGGUAUAAGAUGGGCAUGCGUCCAAUUAGCUAGUUGGUGAGGUAACGGCUCACCAAGGCUACGAUUGGUAGGGGUUCUGAGAGGAUGAUCCCCCACACUGGUACUGAGACACGGACCAGACUCCUACGGGAGGCAGCAGUGAGGAAUAUUGCGCAAUGGACGAAAGUCUGACGCAGCCAUGCCGCGUGCAGGAUGACGGCCCUAUGGGUUGUAAACUGCUUUUGAUGGGAAUAAACCCUUCUACGUGUAGAAGGCUGAAGGUACCGUAAGAAUAAGC